RNAcentral lists this microRNA precursor (105 nucleotides) under Manduca sexta (tobacco hornworm). Its description in RNAcentral is "microRNA mse-mir-6098 precursor". Lineage: Eukaryota; Metazoa; Arthropoda; Insecta; Lepidoptera; Sphingidae. The record is from miRBase by way of RNAcentral.
AAUAACAGUUGUGCGACAUUAUUGUCCAACAACAGUCGCGUGAUUGUGUUGUGCGAUCAUAGUGAUUGUGUGUUGGAACAAAAAAUAUUUACUAAUGGAGCUCAU